UAAUCUCAUCUGGUAAUUGAAGUGAUCUAUUUUUUAAAAAAAGAAACUUCAUUAUCAUUUCAGAUUGUA
RNAcentral lists this microRNA precursor (69 nucleotides) under Schmidtea mediterranea. Its description in RNAcentral is "Sme-Mir-216-P2f_pre stem-loop". The record is from RNAcentral. Lineage: Eukaryota; Metazoa; Platyhelminthes; Tricladida; Dugesiidae.